GUUUUCUCUAAAGAAAUGGCCAAAGAUGCGAUCAUUUUUAAAGUAAUAAUAUUUCUUCAGGGAUAAAAUAAGGUUUUUGUUUUUCAAUGUAUUUUUACAAAACGAUGCCUACAUGGACUUCAUCAUAGGCUCCCGAAGUCCUGACAGCUGACACAGAGCUCAGGGAGGAAGGAAGGAAACGCGGAAGCUGUGAGAUCCGCCAGUUUUCUGCUGGAGCUUGAGAGCUGAUUUUUACUGUUCGGGUGUCUUUGCAGCCACUAGUAAAGGAGAUAGGCUGCUUCAUCCCAUUCCAGUGAGUGCUUAUUGCUCCUGUUGGAAAAGAUUUAAUUGGGAGGCCAUUAGGCUGAGAUACCUCCAGUGCGAUGGGUUUCUGUAUAAGUGAAUCAAAGCUCAGUGGAAAUAAAAAAAUGGAACUUAAGCUCGACUACUUAGAAAUGAACAACCUCAGAAAUCACCAACUAACCUUGAACUAGGGGCUUUCCCACUUUAACCAAUCCAAUGUAUUUUGUUGGUUUUUAAGGCACUGGGGAUGGAACUUGGGGCCUCACAUGCUAAGCAAGUGCUCCAUCUCUGAGCUACAUCCCUAGGCACAUGAAUUUCCUUUGGACUUCAUCAAAACCUUAUAAAGGUUUCUCACCCCCACCCCCAUUGGAGUACUGGACCACUUCUGCGGUGCAGCCAGACUCAUGAGUUCAAGAAUGCUCAAAUAAACUUGUUAACAUUUUAACACACCCAAGUUUAUCUUUUCACACUUCUCUGCAUGUAGACUGAAGGGACCCGGGCAAUUGAAUUCGGAAGUCCAUAGCUGAAGGUCUCAAUUCAGUGUGCUUGACUGUGAGGCUUUGGAUACCACACUAACCUUGGUUGUCGCCUGCUUUCUGUUACAUGGGGUCAACAGUCAUGACUGAUGCACCUUAAAGUGACUCCCAGAGAAUCAGGCUGGUUUAAUCCCUCCUACCUGAAUGUGGGAGGAGCCUGUGAGCCGCUUCUAGCCCACAGAAUGUGGCAAAGGUGAUUAGGGUACAGGUUUUAAGACUUCAGUAGCAGCCUACAAAGAGACACUAUUCUUACUAACUUCAACUUUAUGAGAGUCCUGUGAGAGGGCCAUGCGACAAGGGACUGUCAGUCAGCCUUUCAGAGCUGAGAGCUGCCCCAGCUGACGCUAGCAAAGAAACAGGGUUCUCAGUCAUACAGCCCCAUGGAGAUGAAUUCUAUCAACAACCUGUAUGAGCCAGCAGAUGGAAGGACAGACCGACUGGCACCUCUAUUUCAGCCUGUGGAAUUCUGAGCAGAAAUCCCAGCUAAGAGAUACCUGGACUCUUGCCCCAGAGAAACUGGGAUAAUAGACAUAUGGGUUUUCUUUGUAAUUAAAAAUGUUUUUAUCAUGAUAAAAUACCACAUAAUGUAAC
RNAcentral lists this long non-coding RNA (1409 nucleotides) under Marmota monax (woodchuck). Lineage: Eukaryota; Metazoa; Chordata; Mammalia; Rodentia; Sciuridae. The record is from RNAcentral.